GUGUGUCCCACAGUAUCUUGACAUACAUGACUCACCUCACCAGGUGGCUACUCCAGCCUCAGUGCCCAAGCAGAAGCCUAGGCCCCAGACUACUCCCCACUCUAAGAUCUAGGCUUUUUAUGACUGGUCAUUGCAUGGCCUUAGGAGCUGCCUUACAUCCUUCCUGUGCCAGAUGGGCAUAAGUAAGUCCCUCACUUGAUGAAUGAGAAGACCAUGCCCAGAGCCCCCAGGAGUCACUAUGGUAUGCAAUGGUAAAGCCAGGAUACCAGCAUGCUGCCCCUGCUACCCUCCCCACAGAGGCCCCAGCACUAGAUCCCUGCCUGUGGGAGAGUAGAUGGGAGGUGAAACUUCCACAAGGCUUCAAUGGCUCA
RNAcentral lists this long non-coding RNA (371 nucleotides) under Urocitellus parryii (Arctic ground squirrel). RNAcentral describes it as "lncRNA (ENSUPAG00010011510.1)". Lineage: Eukaryota; Metazoa; Chordata; Mammalia; Rodentia; Sciuridae. The record is from RNAcentral.